CAGCAGUAGGGAAUCUUCCGCAAUGGACGAAAGUCUGACGGAGCAACGCCGCGUGAGUGAUGAAGGCUUUCGGGUCGUAAAACUCUGUUGUUAGGGAAGAACAAGUGCUAGUUGAAUAAGCUGGCACCUUGACGGUACCUAACCAGAAAGCCACGGCUAACUACGUGCCAGCAGCCGCGGUAAUACGUAGGUGGCAAGCGUUAUCCGGAAUUAUUGGGCGUAAAGCGCGCGCAGGUGGUUUCUUAAGUCUGAUGUGAAAGCCCACGGCUCAACCGUGGAGGGUCAUUGGAAACUGGGAGACUUGAGUGCAGAAGAGGAAAGUGGAAUUCCAUGUGUAGCGGUGAAAUGCGUAGAGAUAUGGAGGAACACCAGUGGCGAAGGCGACUUUCUGGUCUGUAACUGACACUGAGGCGCGAAAGCGUGGGGAGCAAACAGGAUUAGAUACCCUGGUAGUCCACGCCGUAAACGAUGAGUGCUAAGUGUUAGAGGGUUUCCGCCCUUUAGUGCUGAAGUUAACGCAUUAAGCACUCCGCCUGGGGAGUAC
RNAcentral lists this ribosomal RNA (544 nucleotides) under uncultured Bacillus sp. Its description in RNAcentral is "bacterial SSU rRNA". It matches the Rfam family "Bacterial small subunit ribosomal RNA", at positions 349 to 883 of the family's 1533-position model. The record is from RNAcentral. Lineage: Bacteria; Bacillati; Bacillota; Bacilli; Caryophanales; Bacillaceae.